RNAcentral lists this ribosomal RNA (1481 nucleotides) under uncultured bacterium. RNAcentral describes it as "partial 16S ribosomal RNA". It matches the Rfam family "Bacterial small subunit ribosomal RNA". The record is from RNAcentral.
AGAGUUUGAUCCUGGCUCAGAGUGAACGCUGGCGGCAUGCUUUACACAUGCAAGUCGAACGGCAGCACGAGUGCUUGCACUUGGUGGCGAGUGGCGAACGGGUGAGUAACACGUGGACAAUCUGCCUAUACAUCUGGGAUAAUCCUUCGAAAGGAGGUCUAAUACCGGAUGACACACUCUGGUGGCAUCACCGGAAUGUCAAAGACGGGGCAACCUGUUGUGUAUAGAUGAGUCCGCGCUCCAUUAGCUAGUUGGCGGGGUAAAAGCCCACCAAGGCUCCGAUGGAUAGCCGGCCUGAGAGGGUGAUCGGCCACACUGGGACUGAGAUACGGCCCAGACUCCUACGGGAGGCAGCAGUAGGGAAUAUUGCACAAUGGACGAAAGUCUGAUGCAGCAACGCCGCGUGGAGGAUGACACAUUUCGGUGCGUAAACUCCUUUUAUAUAGGAAGAUAAUGACGGUACUAUAUGAAUAAGCACCGGCUAACUCCGUGCCAGCAGCCGCGGUAAUACGGAGGGUGCAAGCGUUACUCGGAAUCACUGGGCGUAAAGAGCGUGUAGGCGGGUAUAUAAGUCAGAAGUGAAAUCCAAUAGCUUAACUAUUGAACUGCUUUUGAAACUGUGUACCUAGAAUGUGGGAGAGGUAGAUGGAAUUUCUGGUGUAGGGGUAAAAUCCGUAGAGAUCAGAAGGAAUACCGAUUGCGAAGGCGAUCUACUGGAACAUUAUUGACGCUGAGACGCGAAAGCGUGGGGAGCAAACAGGAUUAGAUACCCUGGUAGUCCACGCCCUAAACGAUGCACACUAGUUGUUGUGAGGCUAGACCUUGCAGUAAUGCAGUUAACACAUUAAGUGUGCCGCCUGGGGAGUACGGUCGCAAGAUUAAAACUCAAAGGAAUUGACGGGGACCCGCACAAGCGGUGGAUGAUGUGGUUUAAUUCGACGCAACGCGAAAAACCUUACCUACCCUUGACAUGCCUGGAAUCCUGCAGAGAUGCGGGGGUGCUCGCAAGAGAACCAGGACACAGGUGCUGCAUGGCCGUCGUCAGCUCGUGUCGUGAGAUGUUGGGUUAAGUCCCGCAACGAGCGCAACCCUUGCCAUUAGUUGCUACGAAAGAGCACUCUAAUGGGACUGCCGGUGACAAACCGGAGGAAGGUGGGGAUGACGUCAGGUCAUCAUGGCCCUUAUGGGUAGGGCUACACACGUCAUACAAUGGCCGGUACAGAGGGCUGCCAACCCGCGAGGGGGAGCCAAUCCCAGAAAACCGGUCGUAGUCCGGAUCGCAGUCUGCAACUCGACUGCGUGAAGUCGGAAUCGCUAGUAAUCGCGGAUCAGCAUGUCGCGGUGAAUACGUUCCCGGGUCUUGUACACACCGCCCGUCACACCAUGGGAGCGGGUUCUGCCAGAAGUAGUUAGCCUAACCGAAAGGAGGGCGAUUACCACGGCAGGGUUCGUGACUGGGGUGAAGUCGUAACAAGGUAACC